GUUGGGAAUCUUAGGCAAUGGACGAAAGUCUGACCUAGCGACGCCGCGUGAGGGAAGAAGGCCUUCGGGUUGUAAACCUCUGUCAUGGGGGAAGAAGUAAGCGACGGUACCCCAAGAGGAAGCCCCUGCUAACUACGUGCCAGCAGCCGCGGUAAUACGUAGGGGGCGAGCGUUAUCCGGAAUUACUGGGUGUAAAGGGCGUGUAGGCGGGGUGCCAAGUCAGGUGUGAAAUUCCGAGGCUUAACUUCGGGUGUGCAUCUGAAACUGGUGCUCUUGAGUGUCGGAGAGGAAAGUGGAAUUCCCAGUGUAGCGGUGAAAUGCGUAGAGAUUGGGAGGAACACCAGUGGCGAAGGCGGCUGACUGGACUGACCCUGACGCUGAGGUGCGAAAGCGUGGGGAGCAAACA
RNAcentral lists this ribosomal RNA (406 nucleotides) under uncultured bacterium. Its description in RNAcentral is "bacterial SSU rRNA". It matches the Rfam family "Bacterial small subunit ribosomal RNA", at positions 354 to 774 of the family's 1533-position model. The record is from RNAcentral.